UGGCAAGAUCAUUAACUGUACAGAGGGGGUGUGCUUUUCAUCAGUGCUUAAAAGGUCUAUUUUGACCUGAGAAGGUCAGGUUGGCUUUCUCAAAUGCCUGAAAAUGAAUAACUCACACCUGGAAUCUAAGUGGCAUUGUGAGCUGAAGGUAGCUAAGGAGUUACACCGGAGAAUAGUUUCAGUGGGAAUGUUAGAGUUAUCCAGAAGUACACUGAGACAGAGUGUUCUCUGGUUUAUUGUGCACCACUUUAUAACUACAGACUAAAGGAAGUCUGAAGGAAACCACUACCUGAAUAGUUAGCAAGUUUGCCACUUUUUCUGUGCCUUUUACAAUUGAGUGGCAUAUCAAGCUUUCUCUGUAUUGAAGUAUGGUGAGAAGGAAGCUCCAUCUAUUGGAUUUCUGGCUGUCAAAGAACACUUAGGCACAGAGCAUUCUAACCCCGAUACUGUCAACGGAAAGGAAUGCAGGGAUAACCAUAGAUCAUGUGCACACGCAAAAAUGGCAGAGUUACAAAUGUGUAAUGAGAUUCCAGUAAGAAUCUAGCUAAUUAGAUGACAGUUGCUAUUAAUUUUCCAUGUUACUGGAAACGGCACAAGACCCUAUUUUUGUAAUAAUGACUUGGAAAACUGUCACCACGUGAUCAAAUUUCAACACAAUGUCAAAAUGUGUUCCAUCUCGUAUGCAGUGCCAUUAGCUUGGCUAAAGUCAGGAGCUCUCUGAAGAAAGAGUUCAGCAGUAAUUUUUGGAAAACUUUGAGCCUCUCUUAGAAGUACAUUGGCAGGUGGAUGAAAAGAUUCUUAAGAAUUUGGACUUUAAGAAAGGAAAAAAGGAACAUUUCAACCCUUCUCCCCCCGAACUUUAAAAAAUAAUGAUGACAGGGCCCUGGAAAGUAAAUGAAAUGUAUUAAAUGACCAUUGCUCUCAAAUAAAGUCAAGAAUUAAGUACAGCUAUAACCAAGGUAAAAAAUGUACUUAAGAUAAAUGAAAAGAAAAGUAGUCCACUCCUCUGAUUAAACUCUGCUGAGAAGUAUUAUAUUUUACUUAAUGAAAGUAUUUAUAAUGCGUCCUUCAAACAAAGGGCAGAACUAUACAUAGUUGAAACCUAAAAUGAAAAAUAAAAUUAAAGCAACAUAAAACAAAAUAGCAAGAUUAAGUUACAAAUAAAAGCAGUUGCAACAAAAAUUCAAGCGCUAGCAUAUCUGGCCCCUUCCCAAGAACCUGGGCAAAGAGAUGCAGCUACUGCUGCUGGCAAAGUGAUAUUAAUUUUGUGGUUAGGCACACCUCAAAAGGUUGAUAUUUCCCAAGCACUUCCUGGUGGUAUGGAUAUUACAACACUGUGCAGACAGUGUUUCUGCAAAAAUGCAAGCAUUUCUCCCCAAGCAAGUCCUUCAGCCUCUGUGCCACAUGCCCACACGUCCUGUCAAAUUAGGUUUGCAUUUUCUUUCUGCAACUUUUGAUGUCAGUUGAACAGAAACAAGCUUGAAGCUUUUUUCCUUUCAUUUAUCAGAAUGCCCUAGCCCCUAGCCCCAUCCAUCUGAAUUUUUGCAGGUUCCUUCCUGGGGCACAUCUACAGUGUAUGCCAUUUUCUUUCUUUCUUUCUUUCUUUCUUUCUUUCUUUCUUUCUUUCUUUAUCUUUCUUUUUUAAAUGUUGACCACAAAAUCCCAGGGACGGGUGCAAAUGACAUUUAGUUCUGUGCCACCAAAAUCACAUUUAAAAGUGCCUAGUCCCUAGUAUAAACCCUAUUUGUUGGUAGAAUGGCAAGUUUCUUACCUAGUGGUACAUCUUGUGUGUCUUACAAAUUACUUAUAAAACAAAAUGAUAGUUUAAGUGAAUCCUUUUUUAAGCAGUCCCAAACUAGACAUGCUGCCCUUGAAGAAAAGCCACUGCAGCAAUCCUUCUGGAAAUUGCCAGGAUUUUCAGAGGCCACCAUGCCUGCAUCCCCCCCUCCCAAUUUGGACAAAACAACAACAACCCAGACCUUUUCAGAGGUUCAUUGGAGUCAGGCUGAGAUAGCUGUCAUACAGAUAGCUGCAGGUUGGGUUGCACAGCUCAAGCUAUUUGGGGCUUUCAGGGGCAGGGCAUCAGACAGGAAGCAGAGGCAAGAGUGAGCAAGAAGAAUGGGAGACUCAAGGCAGGACCUACUGGAUUCUUCAUUCCACCAGAUCUCUCCUCUUUCUGUUCCCCAGAAGCAGCAAUGUACUGUAUAGGAUGGAAUCUUCCAGCUGAACAACUGCUGAUCUAGUUCAUCUGAUUUUUGUGUGUUGCUUUUCCUUUGUGAGCAGCUUCCCUUCCAUUUAGCUAUUAAGUGGAGGAUCCAAUCCUGCACAGUACUGGCCAUGGCUCUUUCACAAGUGGAUUUCCUGCAUGCAAGCACUUCCAUUGCAUACCGGGAAGCUGAUCAUGAAGGAUGAACAACUUGCACUACACAGAAUCAUAUUCUCCUGCUAAGCAGGAGGAUCUGAUCCUGCAUGGGGCUGGGGCACCCCCACCCAGCCACAUUUUUAAACCCUACUUUAACUAUACUGUUAUGUUAUAGGAUUUUAACAGCUCUUAGACCAACAUCCAGAUUGCUUUGGGGGGAAAUCUGGGGCAGGACAGGUGCCCUGCAGGGCAGCACAGGGCAGAUCAACCUGAUCCAGGGACCACAGAUCAGAGCAGAUCAGGGGGUCCAUGCAGAGCCCUAAUAAGGGCCAUUUGAUUAGAUGAUGAAAGAGGAGUCGGCACACUAAUGUAGGAUACGUAAGACUGCAAUUAGGCAUAACAGCUAUAUGGAGCUUCCAGAAUGAGACAGAAUGCCACAGAAUACCAGUUCCUAGGGAGCAACAAUGAGUGGUCUAUUACCUUCAAGCCCUAUUUGUGAGAUUUCUGCAUGGCACCUUGUACAGUGGUACCUCGCAAGACGAAUGCCUCUCAAGACGAAAAACUCGCAAGACGCAAGAGUUUUUCGUUUUUUGAGUUGCUUCGCGAGACGAAUUUCCCUAUGGGCUUGCUUCGCAAGACGGAAACGUCUUGCAAGUUUGUUUCCUUUUUCUUAAAACCGUUACAGUAAUACAGGGUGCAUUGCUUGAAGAGGAGCAACUCAUAGCACGCGGUGUGGUAGCCUUUUUUGAGGUUUUUGAAGAUUUUUUUGAAAAAAUUGAAACCGUGCUUCGCAAGACGAAAAAACUCGCAGAACGAAUUAAUUUCGUCUUGCGAGGCACCACUGUACUGGACUUAGAUGGGUGGGCUAUUGGUCUGAUCCAGUAGGUCUCAUCAUCUGUUCAGAACUGAGCCAUUACUGCAGAAGAAAAAGACAAUAUUUCAUUUUCUGUAUGUGUGGUGUGUGUUUUUAGCAGUCAAAUCCAUCCUAUUCUUUUCGCCCCUUGUGUGUCAUUUAUUUGAAUAUCCUUUAGCUAUGCCAUUGCUUCAGAGUUGCUUUGUUUCUCUCUCUCUCUCUCUCUCUCUCUUUUAAUCAGACUGCAAUUCCAAGGUGGAUGCAACUUUUAAUCAGCGUAUUUGUUUAAAGUGCAUUGCCUUGACCAGAACAUGUCUUUCCCACCCCCCACUGUAUUAUUUCAUCUGGGAUAUGGCUGUCAUUUUAUCAUGUUUAUUUGCUUUAGGCGUGCCUGCCUGAACCACAGGCAGUUUCUGCAAUGUGCCUAGAGGCGCAUUCUCAAAUCCCCACGUCCCUUUUGCUGAGUCUUGAAACGAGCUGCAUCGCUGGGUGUUUAUACAUAUCACCGAGAUGGCACCAGGAGCUGAAAUCAUGCCCUUAGGGUUGAGUUCUAUUUGGAGGUGCCAAAAUGGUUUCUCUGCUCUCACUCAGCAGCGUGACACGCGGUCACUCAUUUCAUGAGCUGCAAAUGAAGGCAUUGAAGUGACUUUGGUAUAGCAGACGGUCCAGGCAGCAUUUUUUGGCAACCGUAUGUGUCAUAACGCCUUAAAGAAUAGAGGGGCUGGGAGGUUCGGAAAUUCACAAAGAGUGACACCUAAGAGCAUGCUAAUGCUUUCGCCAUCCUGCUGCAUAUUGUCUUGUCGGCUGAGUCCAGGAAAUGAACGUGUAACUCAAACCUACCCUUGUAGCUCUCCGACUUAUUAAAGCAGAAAUCUGAAAUAUUUUUUAUUUAUUUUUCUGAAUCUAGGGUGGUAUUAUUAAUAAUAUUCCAACCAAUGCCUCUGGCCAUAUGCUUUGACCUUUCAGAAGUCCUUUGUGAAGCUCGCUCCUGAAACCACUUAUUCCAGCAGGGGACUCAUUGAAGUCAACAGAGCUCCUGUCAGCAUACAUGCUUGGGGCACUAGAGCUUUAUUAUCUAAUCAAUGUCACUGCAGAUAUUCAUACCAGUUGAAACCAACCGGGGAUCACAAACUUUUUAUAUUACGAUUCCAGAAUAAAGUUCUUUAUUGAACAGUUUGGAGUGAAAUGAGCAUGGAUAACAAGCAUGGAUGUUUCUGAAAGGCUUUAUAAUUUAAAGCAGGUCUGGGGAACCAGCAGCCCUCCCGUCAUUGUUGGACUCUUAAUCUCAGGAUCGUAACUUCGAGCCCCAUGCUGGGCAAAAAAAAUUCCUGCAUUGCAGGAGGUUGGACUCCAAGUCCCAUCAACACCCGCCAGCAAGGCCAACAUGAUCAGAAAUUAUGGGAGCUGGAGUCCAGCAACAUCUGAAGGGCCACAGAAUUCCCACCCCUGAUUUAAAAAGACUAGGAAAAUGUCCAUUCCCAUUCUGGGUAGGUGGGUGGCCUAAGAAAGAGAAUCUCUCAGUCACCUUAUCUGCAAUGCUAAGCCAAUACCCCCAAUUUAUUUAUUUUUAAAAUUUGCCCCCCAAGAAAGUGUGGAGAGAUAUUCAGCCCAGCUUGAAAAUAAAUCCAGAUCUAUGAUAUAUCAAAAUAUCAACCACUCAAACUUAUCCAAUUUUCAUCACUUGUCAGAGCUCUCUUUUGUCAGUGGAAAUAGAGGCUUGCCACUGAGAACUCAACUGGCAAACAUAUUUGGGGAGAGAGGAGUAAAAUGAACAAGGGCAAAUCAGCAAACUUAUUUGUGAAAGAAACGAGAAGACAUAUCUUCAGUGGACGGCUGACAUUUCUCAUAGGAGGGUAAAUGCAGGAGGGAGUGAUCCCAUUUAUACAACCAGCUCUAGAUUCCAUUUCAUGCUUUACAAAUAUACAGUAUAGGGUGCUUCCUCCUUUUGUGUUCUCUCAGAGACCGAACAUGCUCCCCAGGGCAACCCUCACCAUUCCUUGUCAUUCAGAGAACACAGCCAGCUGCUGAAGCUAGGGCUCCCAUUGCACUGUUACCAAGCCACCAGAUCAGACUGGAAAAACAUGUGUUAGUGCCCUGUAUAUUAUCUUUGGAGCUCACGGGUGCCACACUAGCACAGCAACAUUUGCUUUUCAAAAUGCCAUUCAAAGUUGUCACUGGUACACAUCAGGACACCACAAGAAAAUGACUUUCAAUAGGGAGACUGAAAAGGCACAUUCUUAUGAAGGUAAUCAACUUUUUGUGGUGGCGAUGGUGGGGUGUUUCUUUUCAUAUUAUUUUACUCAGUAAGGUUUUGGAAUGUUUAUCCUUUUUCCACCCCCCUUUCUUCCUAAGGCUGUCUCAUCCAAAUGUUUUUGUAACUUCAUGAACGUGUCAAAGGUCCUCUGCGGGAAUUCUGUGGGAAAUAUGCGGAAUGACCUGCACAUAAGAAACAAGGAAAACAUCACAGCAUGAGAUACCAUGGAAGUUAAAAUGAAGCAUCUGUAGCUCUGCACAUGGCACUACAGAGAUCUGUAACAGGACAUUCAUAUUCAAAGGACAGCCAGAAUGUUAGGCUCACAUACUGAUUGAGAACCUUGCAUUAUUAUAAUCAGCAUGUAGAAUGUGGAUCAGUAUUUCUAAAUGAGGAGUGUUGAUACAAAAGAGGGGUU
This 5884-nucleotide long non-coding RNA is filed under the name Podarcis lilfordi (Lilford's wall lizard). Lineage: Eukaryota; Metazoa; Chordata; Lepidosauria; Squamata; Lacertidae. The record is from RNAcentral.